GAUGAACGCUGGCGGCGUGGAUUAGGCAUGCAAGUCGAACGGUAUCAUCCUUUCGGGGAUGAGAGAGUGGCGAACGGGUGAGUAACACGUAGGUGAUCUACCCUCAAGACGGGGACAACCCAGGGAAACUUGGGCUAAUACCGGAUGUGAGCAACUUUUAGUUGUUUGAAAGGUGGCGUAAGCUGUCGCUUGGGGAUGAGCCUGCGUCCUAUUAGUUAGUUGGUGAGGUAACGGCUCACCUAGGCAAUGAUAGGUAGGCGGCCUUAACGGGUGGUCGCCCACACUGGGAUUGAGAUACGGCCCAGACUCCUACGGGAGGCAGCAGUCGAGAAUAGUCUACAAUGGUCGGAAGACUGAUAGUGCGACGCCGCGUGAACGAAGAAGCCCUUCGGGUGUAAAGUUCUUUUAUAUGUGAGCAGUGCUUUCUAUGUGAACAGCAUGGGGAGAGAGAUAUUAGCAUAUGAAUAAGCAACGGCUAACUCCGUGCCAGCAGCCG
RNAcentral lists this ribosomal RNA (496 nucleotides) under uncultured bacterium. RNAcentral's name for it is "bacterial SSU rRNA". It matches the Rfam family "Bacterial small subunit ribosomal RNA", at positions 28 to 517 of the family's 1533-position model. The record is from RNAcentral.